GGGAGUGUAGCCAAGAGGUAAGGCAACAGACUUUUAAUCUGGAUAUCGUGGGUUCGAUUCCCACCACUCCCA
Molecule: transfer RNA, 72 nt
Filed under: archaeon
Lineage: Archaea
Description: tRNA-Lys
Rfam family: tRNA
About the family: Transfer RNA (tRNA) molecules are approximately 80 nucleotides in length. Their secondary structure includes four short double-helical elements and three loops (D, anti-codon, and T loops).
Source: RNAcentral